Oncorhynchus tshawytscha (Chinook salmon) is the source of this 578-nucleotide long non-coding RNA. Lineage: Eukaryota; Metazoa; Chordata; Actinopteri; Salmoniformes; Salmonidae. The record is from Ensembl.
UGUGUUUCUUGGUGCAAGCAAAUCUCUUCUUAUUAUUGGUUUCAUUUAGUAGUGGUUUCUUUGCAGUAAUUUGACAAUGAAGGCCUUAAUCAUGCAGUCUCCUCAGAACAGUUGAUGUUGAGACGUGUCUGUUACCUGAACUCUGUGAAGCAUUUAUUUGGGCUGCAAUCGCUGAGGCUGUUAACUAUAAUACUGAUCCUCUGCAGCAGAGGUAACUGGGUUUUCCUUUCCUGUGGCAGUCCUCAUGAGAGACAGUUAACUGUAAUGAACUGAUCCUCUGCAGCAGAGGUAACUGGGUUUUCCUUUCCUGUGGCAGUCCUCAUGAGAGACAGUUAACUGUAAUGAACUGAUCCUCUGCAGCAGAGGUGACUCUGGGUUUUCCUUUCCUGUGGCUGUCCUCAUGAGAGACAGUUUCAUCAUAGUGCUUGAUGUUUGUUGCGACUGCACUUGAUGAAACUUUCAAAGUUCUUGAAAUGUUCCACAUUGACUGACCUUCAUGGCUUAAAGUAAUGAUGGACUGACGUUUCUCUUUGCUUAUUUGAGCUGUUCUUGCCAUAAUGUGGACUUGGUCUUUUACC